GACGAACGCUGGCGGCGUGCUUAACACAUGCAAGUCGAACGGAAAGGCCCUGCUUUUGUGGGGUGCUCGAGUGGCGAACGGGUGAGUAACACGUGAGUAACCUGCCCUUGACUUUGUGAUAACUUCAGGAAACUGGGGCUAAUACCGGAUAGGAGCUCCUGCUGCAUGGUGGGGGUUGGAAAGUUUCGGCGGUUGGGGAUGGACUCGCGGCUUAUCAGCUUGUUGGUGGGGUAGUGGCUUACCAAGGCUUUGACGGGUAGCCGGCCUGGGAGGGUGACCAGCCACCUUGGGCCUGCGGUACGGACCAGACUCCUACGGGAGGCAGCAGUGGGGAAUCUUACACAAUGGGCGGAAGUCUGAUGCAGAAACGUCGCGUGCGGGAUGCCGGCUUUCGGGUUGUAAACCGCUUUCGCCUGUGACGAAGCGUGAGUGACGGUAAUGGGUAAAGAAGCACCGGCUAACUACGUG
This 468-nucleotide ribosomal RNA is filed under the name uncultured bacterium. Its description in RNAcentral is "partial 16S ribosomal RNA". It matches the Rfam family "Bacterial small subunit ribosomal RNA", at positions 28 to 507 of the family's 1533-position model. The record is from RNAcentral.